Molecule: ribosomal RNA, 253 nt
Filed under: uncultured bacterium
Lineage: Bacteria
Description: partial 16S ribosomal RNA
Rfam family: Bacterial small subunit ribosomal RNA
Source: RNAcentral
UUCGUAGGGUGCGAGCGUUAAUCGGACUUAUUGGGCGUAAAGCGUGCGUAGGCGGUUUCGCAAGUCCGCUUUGAAAGCCCCGGGCUUAACCUGGGAAUGGCAGUGGAAACUAUGGGACUUGAAUCUGGCAGAGGGGGGUGGAACUCCACGUGUAGCAGUGAAAUGCGUAGAUAUGUGGAAGAACACCGAUGGCGAAAGCAGCUCUCUGGGACGGUACUGACGCUGAGACGCGAAAGCGUGGGGAGCGAACAGG